This 492-nucleotide ribosomal RNA is filed under the name uncultured bacterium. RNAcentral describes it as "partial 16S ribosomal RNA". It matches the Rfam family "Bacterial small subunit ribosomal RNA", at positions 29 to 507 of the family's 1533-position model. The record is from RNAcentral.
AGUGAACGCUGGCGGUAGGCCUAACACAUGCAAGUCGAACGGCAGCACAGUAAGAGCUUGCUCUUACGGGUGGCGAGUGGCGGACGGGUGAGGAAUACAUCGGAAUCUACUUUUUCGGGGGGGAUAACGUAGGGAAACUUACGCUAAUACCGCAUACGACCUACGGGUGAAAGCAGGGGAGCUUCGGACCUUGCGCGAUUGAAUGAGCCGAUGUCGGAUUAGCUAGUUGGCGGGGUAAAGGCCCACCAAGGCGACGAUCCGUAGCUGGUCUGAGAGGAUGAUCAGCCACACUGGAACUGAGACACGGUCCAGACUCCUACGGGAGGCAGCAGUAGGGAAUCUUGGACAAUGGGCGCAAGCCUGAUCCAGCCAUACCGCGUGGGUGAAGAAGGCCUUCGGGUUGUAAAGCCCUUUUGUUGGGAAAGAACAGCAGCAGGUUAAUCCCCCGCUGUUCUGACGGUACCCAAAGAAUAAGCCCCGGCUAACUUCGUG